Molecule: ribosomal RNA, 497 nt
Filed under: uncultured bacterium
Lineage: Bacteria
Description: partial 16S ribosomal RNA
Rfam family: Bacterial small subunit ribosomal RNA
Source: RNAcentral
GAUGAACGCUGGCGGCGUGCCUAAUACAUGCAAGUCGAGCGAACAGACGAGGAGCUUGCUCCUCUGACGUUAGCGGCGGACGGGUGAGUAACACGUGGAUAACCUACCUAUAAGACUGGGAUAACUUCGGGAAACCGGAGCUAAUACCAGAUAAUAUAUUGAACCGCAUGGUUCAAUAGUGAAAGACGGUUUUGCUGUCACUUAUAGAUGGAUCCGCGCCGCAUUAGCUAGUUGGUAAGGUAACGGCUUACCAAGGCAACGAUGCGUAGCCGACCUGAGAGGGUGAUCGGCCACACUGGAACUGAGUCACGGUCCAGACUCCUACGGGAGGCAGCAGUAGGGAAUCUUCCGCAAUGGGCGAAAGCCUGACGGAGCAACGCCGCGUGAGUGAUGAAGGUCUUCGGAUCGUAAAACUCUGUUAUUAGGGAAGAACAAAUGUGUAAGUAACUAUGCACGUCUUGACGGUACCUAAUCAGAAAGCCACGGCUAACUACGUG